This 88-nucleotide transfer RNA is filed under the name compost metagenome. RNAcentral describes it as "tRNA-Trp". It matches the Rfam family "tRNA". Rfam says of the family: Transfer RNA (tRNA) molecules are approximately 80 nucleotides in length. Their secondary structure includes four short double-helical elements and three loops (D, anti-codon, and T loops). The record is from RNAcentral.
AGGGGUUUCGCCUAGUGGACGAUGGCAUUGGUCUCCAAAACCAACAGUGGUAACACUCACGUGGGUUCGAAUCCUACAACCCCUGCCA